RNAcentral lists this ribosomal RNA (497 nucleotides) under uncultured bacterium. RNAcentral describes it as "partial 16S ribosomal RNA". It matches the Rfam family "Bacterial small subunit ribosomal RNA", at positions 28 to 507 of the family's 1533-position model. The record is from RNAcentral.
GAUGAACGCUGGCGGCGUGCCUAAUACAUGCAAGUCGAGCGAACAGACGAGGAGCUUGCUCCUCUAACGUUAGCGGCGGACGGGUGAGUAACACGUGGAUAACCUACCUAUAAGACUGGGAUAACUUCGGGAAACCGGAGCUAAUACCGGAUAAUAUAUUGAACCGCAUGGUUCAAUAGUGAAAGACGGUUUUGCUGUCACUUAUAGAUGGAUCCGCGCCGCAUUAGCUAGUUGGUAAGGUAACAGCUUACCAAGGCAACGAUGCGUAGCCGACCUGAGAGGGUGAUCGGCCACACUGGAACUGAGACACAGUCCAGACUCCUACGGGAGGCAGCAGUAGGGAAUCUUCCGCAAAGGGCGAAAGCCUGACGGAGCAACGCCGCGUGAGUGAUGAAGGUCUUCGGAUCGUAAAACUCUGUUAUUAGGGAAGAACAAAUGUGUAAGUAACUAUGCACGUCUUGACGGUACCUAAUCAGAAAGCCACGGCUAACUACGUG